GCGAUAAGGGAACCUCGAGUGCCAGGUUACAAAUCUGGCUGUCGAGAUGCCUAAAAAGCAUUUCAUAGCAAGGGCCGGGCAAGACCGGUGCCAGCCGCCGCGGUAACACCGGCGGCUCGAGUGGUAACCGUUAUUAUUGGGUCUAAAGGGUCUGUAGCCGGCCGGAUAAGUCUCUUGAGAAAUCUGGCAGCUUAACUGUCAGGCUUUCAGGAGAUACUGUCUGGCUCGAGGCCGGGAGAGGUGAGAGGUACUUCAGGGGUAGGGGUGAAAUCUUGUAAUCCUUGAAGGACCACCAGUGGCGAAGGCGUCUCACCAGAACGGACCUGACGGCAAGGGACGAAAGCUAGGGGCACGAACCGGAUUAGAUACCCGGGUAGUCCUAGCCGUAAACGAUACUCGCUAGGUGUCGGCCACGGUGCGACCGUUGUCGGUGCCGUAGGGAAGCCGUGAAGCGAGCCACCUGGGAAGUACGGCCGCAAGGCUGAAACUUAAGGAAUUG
Molecule: ribosomal RNA, 499 nt
Filed under: uncultured archaeon
Lineage: Archaea
Description: bacterial SSU rRNA
Rfam family: Archaeal small subunit ribosomal RNA
Source: RNAcentral